This 794-nucleotide ribosomal RNA is filed under the name Streptomyces griseobrunneus. RNAcentral's name for it is "bacterial SSU rRNA". It matches the Rfam family "Bacterial small subunit ribosomal RNA", at positions 105 to 911 of the family's 1533-position model. The record is from RNAcentral. Lineage: Bacteria; Bacillati; Actinomycetota; Actinomycetes; Kitasatosporales; Streptomycetaceae.
GGUGAGUAACACGUGGGCAAUCUGCCCUUCACUCUGGGACAAGCCCUGGAAACGGGGUCUAAUACCGGAUAACACUCCUGCCUGCAUGGGUGGGGGUUGAAAGCUCCGGCGGUGAAGGAUGAGCCCGCGGCCUAUCAGCUUGUUGGUGGGGUAAUGGCCUACCAAGGCGACGACGGGUAGCCGGCCUGAGAGGGCGACCGGCCACACUGGGACUGAGACACGGCCCAGACUCCUACGGGAGGCAGCAGUGGGGAAUAUUGCACAAUGGGCGAAAGCCUGAUGCAGCGACGCCGCGUGAGGGAUGACGGCCUUCGGGUUGUAAACCUCUUUCAGCAGGGAAGAAGCGCAAGUGACGGUACCUGCAGAAGAAGCGCCGGCUAACUACGUGCCAGCAGCCGCGGUAAUACGUAGGGCGCAAGCGUUGUCCGGAAUUAUUGGGCGUAAAGAGCUCGUAGGCGGCUUGUCACGUCGGAUGUGAAAGCCCGGGGCUUAACCCCGGGUCUGCAUUCGAUACGGGCUAGCUAGAGUGUGGUAGGGGAGAUCGGAAUUCCUGGUGUAGCGGUGAAAUGCGCAGAUAUCAGGAGGAACACCGGUGGCGAAGGCGGAUCUCUGGGCCAUUACUGACGCUGAGGAGCGAAAGCGUGGGGAGCGAACAGGAUUAGAUACCCUGGUAGUCCACGCCGUAAACGUUGGGAACUAGGUGUUGGCGACAUUCCACGUCGUCGGUGCCGCAGCUAACGCAUUAAGUUCCCCGCCUGGGGAGUACGGCCGCAAGGCUAAAACUCAAAGGAAUU